GACGAACGCUGGCGGCGUGCCUAAUACAUGCAAGUAGGACGCAGUUGCGAACGAGUGAGUAACGCGUAGGUAACUACCUAUUAGAGGGGGAUAACUAUUGGAAACGAUAGCUAAUACCGCAUACUAGUAGAUGGCACUGCGUUGUAUUAGCUAGUAGGUAGGGUAAUGGCCUACCUAGGCAACGAUACAUAGGCGACCUGCGGAGGUGGACGGCCACACUUGGAAGGGGACACGGCCCAGACUCCCUCGGGAGGCAACAGGAGGGAAUCUGCGGCAAUUGGGGGAACCCUGACCGCGCAACGCCGCGUGGGUUAAGAAGGUGUUCGGAUCGUAAAGCUCUUUUGUUAAGGAAGCGGUACUUAACCAGAAAGGGACGGCUAACUACGUGCCAGCAGCCGCGGUAAUUC
This 407-nucleotide ribosomal RNA is filed under the name uncultured bacterium. RNAcentral's name for it is "partial 16S ribosomal RNA". It matches the Rfam family "Bacterial small subunit ribosomal RNA", at positions 28 to 526 of the family's 1533-position model. The record is from RNAcentral.